UUUCAAUUUAAGUAAAGGGGAAAGGAGUGACGUUCAAAUUGCAUGUUCGUUGCCAUACAACUUUUCCAAGCUCUCUGCUUCCUAUUGCUGACUUUAUAGUGCACCCAGGGCUAGUCUGAGAUUAGUGUUUGGAUGCCACAGUACGUUCAGUGUCUGAGAGUCUACCUUCUGUACUAACCCAUACCAAGGAACUAUUCCAUGAACUUUUUUUUUUCUUACAGAAAUGUUCAUUUUGUGCCAUUCUUUUGUUAUUCAGUACAUAAAAUCACCACAGAGCACAGAGCACAGAACCCUCUAUGAUGGCAAUGCUCUGGCAACUCACAACAAAUAGAAAACAAAACCAGAAGUCAGGACUUGAAAAAACAGCUGAAGAUACCCAGAAAUGGCAACAAGAAAUUUUCACGGGUCCAGACAAUGAACAUACUAUCAAUAAGUCAGAGGCAGAAAUACUAUCACUAAAACCAUGGAAGAAGUCCUGGAAUCUCGAUUAAGGUACUCUCAGGUGUGCAAAACUGAAAUCCGUAACAGGAUUUUUAGAAGAUCCUUGGUUCCCCUGAUGUCUG
RNAcentral lists this long non-coding RNA (563 nucleotides) under Struthio camelus australis. Its description in RNAcentral is "lncRNA (ENSSCUG00000009961.1)". Lineage: Eukaryota; Metazoa; Chordata; Aves; Struthioniformes; Struthionidae. The record is from RNAcentral.